RNAcentral lists this ribosomal RNA (450 nucleotides) under uncultured Hyphomicrobiaceae bacterium. Its description in RNAcentral is "partial 16S ribosomal RNA". The record is from RNAcentral. Lineage: Bacteria; Pseudomonadati; Pseudomonadota; Alphaproteobacteria; Hyphomicrobiales; Hyphomicrobiaceae.
CACGAAGUUAGCCGGGGCUUCUUCUGUAGGUACCGUCAUUAUCUUCCCUACUGAAAGAGCUUUACAACCCUACGGCCUUCAUCACUCACGCGGCAUGGCUGGAUCAGGCUUUCGCCCAUUGUCCAAUAUUCCCCACUGCUGCCUCCCGUAGGAGUCUGGGCCGUGUCUCAGUCCCAGUGUGGCUGAUCAUCCUCUCAGACCAGCUAUGGAUCGUCGCCUUGGUGAGCCAUUACCUCACCAACUAACUAAUCCAACGCGGGCUCAUCCAGAACCGAUAAAUCUUUCCCCCGUAGGGCGUAUCCGGUAUUAGCUGAAGUUUCCCUCAGUUGUUCCGAAGUUCUGGGUAGAUUCCCACGCGUUACUCACCCGUCUGCCACUCCCCUUGCGGGGCGUUCGACUUGCAUGUGUUAAGCCUGCCGCCAGCGUUCGUUCUGAGCCAGGAUCAAACUC